Tachyglossus aculeatus (Australian echidna) is the source of this 138-nucleotide small nucleolar RNA. NCBI's taxonomy places the organism in Eukaryota, Metazoa, Chordata, Mammalia, Monotremata, Tachyglossidae. The record is from RefSeq and is a predicted model, not a curated record.
CCCCUCCCAGGGUUGCAUCUGGAGAGUUCCCAGUACUCUACCAGUCUCCACUACGUGAGGGAGAGUCAAGCAGAGGCAUACCCAUUCCAUUCUUAGCUUGGCCAGCGGCUAGCGAGUGUCAGGCAAUCUGCUACAAGU